RNAcentral lists this unclassified non-coding RNA (405 nucleotides) under fungal sp. RNAcentral's name for it is "partial internal transcribed spacer region". The stretch from base 1 to 46 matches the Rfam family "Eukaryotic small subunit ribosomal RNA", at positions 1786 to 1831 of the family's 1831-position model. Lineage: Eukaryota; Fungi. The record is from RNAcentral.
AAGUCGUAACAAGGUUUCCGUAGGUGAACCUGCGGAAGGAUCAUUAACACGUUAUCCACGUAUCAACCAACGAGAACCCGUUUUCGACCCUCUCUUCCUGAGAAUGAAUUGGAGCUUGCUUAGAGUUAUUGAAUGGGAUGCUUGCGUCAGACUCUACUCGCCACUUGCUAAAGCGUCGAAAGAUGCCAGGCAGACAAUUGGAUCUCUGUGAAGACUCUCCUCUCACCGUUCGGGUCUCCAUUCAUUGACUUUUUCGGUGGGAACUCAUAUUAACCCAUUUCACCCCUUUUUUUGCUAGUUGACUUUUAUAUGUUGUUCGAUGUCUGCCUCGGCAGUGCAACGAGCACACGUUUAAUUAUUUGAACGUUAAAAAUACAACUCUUAGCAAUGGAUAUCUAGGUUCUC